UUGAACGCUGGCGGCAGGCCUAACCCAUGCAAGUCGAGCGGAUGACGGGAGCUUGCUCCUUGAUUCAGCGGCGGACGGGUGAGUAAUGCCUAGGAAUCUGCCUGGUAGUGGGGGACAACGUUUCGAAAGGAACGCUAAUACCGCAUACGUCCUACGGGAGAAAGCAGGGGACCUUCGGGCCUUGCGCUAUCAGAUGAGCCUAGGUCGGAUUAGCUUGUUGGUGAGGUAAUGGCUCACCAAGGCGACGAUCCGUAACUGGUCUGAGAGGAUGAUCAGUCACACUGGAACUGAGACACGGUCCAGACUCCUACGGGAGGCAGCAGUGGGGAAUAUUGGACAAUGGGCGAAAGCCUGAUCCAGCCAUGCCGCGUGUGUGAAGAAGGUCUUCGGAUUGUAAAGCACUUUAAGUUGGGAGGAAGGGUUGUAGAUUAAUACUCUGCAAUUUUGACGUUACCGACAGAAUAAGCACCGGCUAACUCUGUG
Molecule: ribosomal RNA, 483 nt
Filed under: uncultured bacterium
Lineage: Bacteria
Description: partial 16S ribosomal RNA
Rfam family: Bacterial small subunit ribosomal RNA
Source: RNAcentral